AGAGUUUGAUCAUGGCUCAGGAUGAACGCUGGCGGCGUGCUUAACACAUGCAAGUCGAACGAACCUUCGGGUUAGUGGCGGACGGGUGAGUAACGCGUGAGAAUCUGCCCUCAGGAGGGGGAUAACGGUUGGAAACGACCGCUAAUACCCCAUAUGCCGAUAGGUGAAAUGAAUUUCGCCUGAGGAUGAGCUCGCGUCUGAUUAGCUAGUUGGUGAGGUAAUGGCUCACCAAGGCUUCGAUCAGUAGCUGGUCUGAGAGGAUGAUCAGCCACACUGGGACUGAGACACGGCCCAGACUCCUACGGGAGGCAGCAGUGGGGAAUUUUCCGCAAUGGGCGAAAGCCUGACGGAGCAACGCCGCGUGAGGGACGAAGGCCUCUGGGCUGUAAACCUCUUUUCUCAAGGAAGAAGAUAUGACGGUACUUGAGGAAUAAGCCACGGCUAAUUCCGUGCCAGCAGCCGCGGUAAUACGGGAGUGGCAAGCGUUAUCCGGAAUUAUUGGGCGUAAAGCGUCCGCAGGCGGCCUUUCAAGUCUGCUGUUAAAGCGUGGAGCUUAACUCCAUUAUGGCAGUGGAAACUGAUCGGCUUGAGUAUGGUAGGGGCAGAGGGAAUUC
RNAcentral lists this ribosomal RNA (614 nucleotides) under uncultured marine bacterium. RNAcentral describes it as "bacterial SSU rRNA". It matches the Rfam family "Bacterial small subunit ribosomal RNA", at positions 8 to 669 of the family's 1533-position model. The record is from RNAcentral.